This 373-nucleotide ribosomal RNA is filed under the name uncultured organism. RNAcentral's name for it is "partial 16S ribosomal RNA". It matches the Rfam family "Bacterial small subunit ribosomal RNA", at positions 527 to 896 of the family's 1533-position model. The record is from RNAcentral.
GUAGGUGGCAAGCGUUGUCCGGAAUUAUUGGGCGUAAAGCGCGCGCAGGCGGUUCUUUAAGUCUGAUGUGAAAGCCCACGGCUCAACCGUGGAGGGUCAUUGGAAACUGGAGAACUUGAGUACAGAAGAGGAAAGCGGAAUUCCACGUGUAGCGGUGAAAUGCGUAGAGAUGUGGAGGAACACCAGUGGCGAAGGCGGCUUUCUGGUCUGUAACUGACGCUGAGGCGCGAAAGCGUGGGGAGCAAACAGGAUUAGAUACCCUGGUAGUCCACGCCGUAAACGAUGAGUGCUAAGUGUUUGGGGGGUUUCCGCCCCCCUUAGUGCUGCAGCUAACGCAUUAAGCACUCCGCCUGGGAGUACGGCCGCAAGGCUG